Molecule: ribosomal RNA, 434 nt
Filed under: uncultured bacterium
Lineage: Bacteria
Description: bacterial SSU rRNA
Rfam family: Bacterial small subunit ribosomal RNA
Source: RNAcentral
UGCAAGUCGAACGGUAAGGCCCUUCGGGGUACUCGAGUGGCGAACGGGUGAGUAACACGUGGGUGAUCUGCCCUGCACUUUGGGAUAAGCCUGGGAAACUGGGUCUAAUACCGGAUAGGACUACGGCCUGCAUGGGUUGUGGUGGAAAGCUUUUGCGGUGUGGGAUGGGCCCGCGGCCUAUCAGCUUGUUGGUGGGGUGAUGGCCUACCAAGGCGACGACGGGUAGCCGGCCUGAGAGGGUGACCGGCCACACUGGGACUGAGAUACGGCCCAGACUCCUACGGGAGGCAGCAGUGGGGAAUAUUGCACAAUGGGCGCAAGCCUGAUGCAGCGACGCCGCGUGGGGGAUGACGGCCUUCGGGUUGUAAACCUCUUUCAGUAGGGACGAAGCGUAAGUGACGGUACCUAUAGAAGAAGCACCGGCCAACUACGUG